UACGUAGGGCGCAAGCGUUGUCCGGAAUUAUUGGGCGUAAAGAGCUCGUAGGCGGCCUGUUGCGUCCGCUGUGAAAUCCCGGGGCUCAACCCCGGGGCCUGCAGUGGAUACGGGCUGGCUGGAGGCAGGCAGGGGAGAACGGAAUUCCUGGUGUAGCGGUGAAAUGCGCAGAUAUCAGGAGGAACACCGGUGGCGAAGGCGGUUCUCUGGGCCUGUUCUGACGCUGAGGAGCGAAAGCGUGGGGAGCGAACAGG
This 254-nucleotide ribosomal RNA is filed under the name uncultured bacterium. RNAcentral describes it as "partial 16S ribosomal RNA". It matches the Rfam family "Bacterial small subunit ribosomal RNA", at positions 524 to 776 of the family's 1533-position model. The record is from RNAcentral.